UACGUAGGUGGCAAGCGUUAUCCGGAUUUAUUGGGUGUAAAGGGCGUGUAGGCGGGAGCGCAAGUCAGAUGUGAAAACUCAGGGCUCAACCCUGAGCCUGCAUUUGAAACUGUGUUUCUUGAGUGCUGGAGAGGCAACCGGAAUUCCGUGUGUAGCGGUGAAAUGCGUAGAUAUACGGAGGAACACCAGUGGCGAAGGCGGAUUGCUGGACAGUAACUGACGCUGAGGCGCGAAAGCGUGGGGAGCAAACAGG
Molecule: ribosomal RNA, 253 nt
Filed under: uncultured bacterium
Lineage: Bacteria
Description: partial 16S ribosomal RNA
Rfam family: Bacterial small subunit ribosomal RNA
Source: RNAcentral